RNAcentral lists this ribosomal RNA (253 nucleotides) under uncultured bacterium. Its description in RNAcentral is "partial 16S ribosomal RNA". It matches the Rfam family "Bacterial small subunit ribosomal RNA", at positions 524 to 776 of the family's 1533-position model. The record is from RNAcentral.
UACAGAGGUCCCGAGCGUUGUUCGGAUUCAUUGGGCGUAAAGGGCUCGUAGGCGGCCAACUAAGUCCGACGUGAAAUCCCAAGGCUUAACCUUGGAACUGCGUCGGAUACUGGAUGGCUUGAAUUCGGGAGAGGGAUGCAGAAUUCCAGGUGUAGCGGUGAAAUGCGUAGAUAUCUAGAGGAAUACCGGUGGCGAAGGCGGCAUCCUGGACCGACAUUGACGCUGAGGAGCGAAAGCUAGGGGAGCAAACGGG